Molecule: ribosomal RNA, 460 nt
Filed under: uncultured bacterium
Lineage: Bacteria
Description: partial 16S ribosomal RNA
Rfam family: Bacterial small subunit ribosomal RNA
Source: RNAcentral
CCUACGGGAGGCAGCAGUGAGGAAUAUUGGUCAAUGGACGAGAGUCUGAACCAGCCAAGUAGCGUGAAGGAUGACUGCCCUAUGGGUUGUAAACUUCUUUUAUAUGGGAAUAAAAUGUUCCACGUGUGGGAUUUUGUAUGUACCAUAUGAAUAAGGAUCGGCUAACUCCGUGCCAGCAGCCGCGGUAAUACGGAGGAUCCGAGCGUUAUCCGGAUUUAUUGGGUUUAAAGGGAGAGUAGGUGGAUUGUUAAGUCAGUUGUGAAAGUUUGCGGCUCAACCGUAAAAUUGCAGUUGAAACUGGCAGUCUUGAGUACAGUAGAGGUGGGCGGAAUUCGUGGUGUAGCGGUGAAAUGCUUAGAUAUCACGAAGAACUCCGAUUGCGAAGGCAGUUCACUGGACUGCAACUGACACUGAGGCUCGAAAGUGUGGGUAUCAAACAGGAUUAGAUACCCGAGUAGUC